AGAGUUUGAUUCUGGCUCAGGAUGAACGCUGGCGGCGUGCCUAACACAUGCAAGUCGAGCGGAGAUAGGUUGAAGCCUAGCGAUUCUUAUCUUAGCGGCGGAUGGGUGAGUAACACGUGGGUAACCUGCCCUGUACUGGGGGAUAACAGCUGGAAACGACUGUUAAUACCGCAUAUGCGCACGGAGCCGCAUGGCCCUGGGCGGAAAGAUUCAUCGGUACAGGAUGGGCCCGCGCCGGAUUAACUUGUUGGCGGGGUAACGGCCCACCAAGGUGAUGAUCCGUAGCCGACCUGAGAGGGUGACCGGCCACAUUGGGACUGAGACACGGCCCAAACUCCUACGGGAGGCAGCAGUGGGGGAUAUUGCACAAUGGGGGAAACCCUGAAUGCAGCGACGCCGCGUGAAGGAAGAAGUAUUUCGGUAUGUAAACUUCUAUCAGCGGGGAAGAAGAUGACGGUACCCGCACAAGAAGCCCCGGCUAACUACGUGCCAGCCGCCGC
RNAcentral lists this ribosomal RNA (500 nucleotides) under uncultured bacterium. Its description in RNAcentral is "bacterial SSU rRNA". It matches the Rfam family "Bacterial small subunit ribosomal RNA", at positions 8 to 518 of the family's 1533-position model. The record is from RNAcentral.